RNAcentral lists this transfer RNA (82 nucleotides) under Ixodes scapularis (black-legged tick). RNAcentral describes it as "tRNA-Ser". It matches the Rfam family "tRNA". From Rfam's summary of the family: Transfer RNA (tRNA) molecules are approximately 80 nucleotides in length. Their secondary structure includes four short double-helical elements and three loops (D, anti-codon, and T loops). Further hydrogen bonds mediate the characteristic L-shaped molecular structure. tRNAs have two regions of fundamental functional importance: the anti-codon, which is responsible for specific mRNA codon recognition, and the 3' end, to which the tRNAs corresponding amino acid is attached (by aminoacyl-tRNA synthetases). tRNAs cope with the degeneracy of the genetic code in two manners: having more than one tRNA (with a specific anti-codon) for a particular amino acid; and 'wobble' base-pairing, i.e. permitting non-standard base-pairing at the 3rd anti-codon position. The record is from RNAcentral. Lineage: Eukaryota; Metazoa; Arthropoda; Arachnida; Ixodida; Ixodidae.
GCAGUCGUGGCCGAGUGGUGAAAGCGAUGGACCAGACAACCAUGGGGGUCUCCCCGCACAGCUUCGCAUCCUGCCGACUGCG